Molecule: ribosomal RNA, 253 nt
Filed under: uncultured bacterium
Lineage: Bacteria
Description: partial 16S ribosomal RNA
Rfam family: Bacterial small subunit ribosomal RNA
Source: RNAcentral
UACAGAGGCCCCAAGCGUUGUUCGGAUUUAUUGGGCGUAAAGGGUGCGUAGGCGGUAUUGUAAGUCUGGUGUGAAAGGCGUGGGCUCAACCUGCGGACUGCAUUGGAUACUGCGAUACUAGAGGACUGGAGAGGAGAAUGGAAUUCACGGUGGAGCAGUGAAAUGCGUAGAUAUCGUGAGGAAGGCCAGUGGCGAAGGCGAUUCUCUGGACAGUACCUGACGCUGAGGCACGAAGGCUGGGGGAGCGAACAGG